GAGUUUGAUCCUGGCUCAGGACGAACGCUGGCGGCACGCCUAACACAUGCAAGUCGAACGGAGAUAUGAAGAUUUAUCGGAAUAUCUUAGUGGCGGACGGGUGAGUAACACGUGAGCAACCUGCCUUUGAGAGUGGAAUAGCUUCUGGAAACGGAUGGUAAUGCCUCAUAACAUACAAGAAUCGCAUGGUUUUUGUAUCAAAGAUUUAUCGCUCAAAGAUGGGCUCGCGUCUGAUUAGAUAGUUGGUGGGGUAACGGCUCACCAAGUCGACGAUCAGUAGCCGGACUGAGAGGUUGAACGGCCACAUUGGGACUGAGACACGGCCCAGACUCCUACGGGAGGCAGCAGUGGGGAAUAUUGCACAAUGGGGGAAACCCUGAUGCAGCGAUGCCGCGUGGAGGAAGAAGGUUUUCGGAUUGUAAACUCCUGUCUUAAAGGACGAAAAUGACGGUACUUUAGGAGGAAGCCCCGGCUAACUAUGUGCCAGCAGCCGCGGUAAUACAUAGGGGGCAAGCGUUAUCCGGAAUUAUUGGGUGUAAAGGGUGCGUAGACGGGUGUUUAAGUUGGUUGUGAAAUCCCUCGGCUCAACUGAGGAACUGCAACCAAAACUGGAUAUCUUGAGUGUC
RNAcentral lists this ribosomal RNA (626 nucleotides) under uncultured bacterium. RNAcentral describes it as "bacterial SSU rRNA". It matches the Rfam family "Bacterial small subunit ribosomal RNA", at positions 9 to 650 of the family's 1533-position model. The record is from RNAcentral.